GCUGGGCACAGUGGUGCAUGCCUGUAGUCCCAGCUACUUGGGAGGCUGAGGCUAGAGGAUCACUUGAGUCCAGGAGUUCUGGGCUGUAGUGCGCUAUGUCAAUCGGGUGUCUGCACUAAGUUCAGCAUCAAUAUGGUGACCUCCCGGGAGUGGGGGACCACCAGGUUGCCUAAGGAGGAGUGAACUGGCCUGGGUUGGAAACAGAGCAGGUCAAAACUCCCGUGCUGAUCAGCAAUGGGAUUGCGCCUGUGAAUAAUAGCCACUGUACUCCAGCCUGGGCAACAUAGCAUGACCCUGUCUCU
This 302-nucleotide signal recognition particle RNA is filed under the name Cebus imitator (Panamanian white-faced capuchin). Its description in RNAcentral is "Metazoan signal recognition particle RNA (ENSCCAG00000007860.1)". It matches the Rfam family "Metazoan signal recognition particle RNA". Rfam says of the family: The signal recognition particle (SRP) is a universally conserved ribonucleoprotein. It is involved in the co-translational targeting of proteins to membranes. The eukaryotic SRP consists of a 300-nucleotide 7S RNA and six proteins: SRPs 72, 68, 54, 19, 14, and 9. Lineage: Eukaryota; Metazoa; Chordata; Mammalia; Primates; Cebidae. The record is from RNAcentral.